RNAcentral lists this non-coding RNA (30 nucleotides) under Mus musculus (house mouse). The record is from RNAcentral. Lineage: Eukaryota; Metazoa; Chordata; Mammalia; Rodentia; Muridae.
UAAAGGAAAAUGAACCUCUCUCUUUUUGUU